GUCUCGGGCACUAAUGGAGUGGAAGGACAAAUACAAAUUCAAAAUUGCUGGGAAAGUGUUUUACUACAUGUAUUUAUAUUUAGUUGGGCAUAGAAGCAGGAUAGCUUUUGCUUUUGAGAUAUGUUGUAUUUAAACAUAUUUUCAUGAGCACUGUGCCAAUCAGUUAAAAUUCACUGACUUGUUAGGCUUGUCCUUUGAAAUUGGAAGUGUUGCCACUAUUUAUUGGUGCCAGAGGACAUGAGCGCUGGGCCAUGUUUGCCUGUACCCCUGCUUACACCUGGGUUCACUUCACGACACACGGACUACUGCUUUACUCAGGUACGACCCGGCGGUAUUACAGUAUAAAUUAACAGAUCCCCCCGACAACUGUCACAACAAACAUUUAAGUGUUUAUGUCGGCACACCAGCGCCCGUUUGUGUUUAUGAAGCUGCUGCGUUUAUUUUCCAAUCAAUGCGUUACGGCGCUAAUGUGACUUGGCAGGUUUUUGCCAGAUUUUAUGUCAGUUCUAAGACACGCACAAUAAAAUGCAGACGUCUGAGAAACCUCUCUGCCGCCGUUUCUUGUUUUCCGCGGCAUAGCAUUAACUAACACAGUUGCAGCUGCAGCUAGAACAAACGGAACAGGCUUCCUGUCUUAUGUAUCCACGGCAACCGAC
This 656-nucleotide long non-coding RNA is filed under the name Lepisosteus oculatus (spotted gar). RNAcentral describes it as "lncRNA (ENSLOCG00000022330.1)". The record is from RNAcentral. Lineage: Eukaryota; Metazoa; Chordata; Actinopteri; Semionotiformes; Lepisosteidae.